RNAcentral lists this ribosomal RNA (308 nucleotides) under Clostridioides difficile. Its description in RNAcentral is "bacterial SSU rRNA". It matches the Rfam family "Bacterial small subunit ribosomal RNA", at positions 1145 to 1452 of the family's 1533-position model. Lineage: Bacteria; Bacillati; Bacillota; Clostridia; Peptostreptococcales; Peptostreptococcaceae. The record is from RNAcentral.
GAGACUGCCAGGGAUAACCUGGAGGAAGGUGGGGAUGACGUCAAAUCAUCAUGCCCCUUAUGCUUAGGGCUACACACGUGCUACAAUGGGUAGUACAGCGGGUUGCCAAGCCGUAAGGUGGAGCUAAUCCCUUAAAGCUACUCUCAGUUCGGAUUGUAGGCUGAAACUCGCCUACAUGAAGCUGGAGUUACUAGUAAUCGCAGAUCAGAAUGCUGCGGUGAAUGCGUUCCCGGGUCUUGUACACACCGCCCGUCACACCACGGGAGUUGGAGACGCCCGAAGCCGAUUAUCUAACCUUUUGGAAGAAG